Molecule: long non-coding RNA, 1546 nt
Filed under: Heterocephalus glaber (naked mole-rat)
Lineage: Eukaryota; Metazoa; Chordata; Mammalia; Rodentia; Bathyergidae
Description: lncRNA (ENSHGLG00000032501.1)
Source: RNAcentral
GAGCAGAGCACCCGGCGGUGGAGAGCUCGCAGCUUGCGCCCUCCAUGAAGCGGCCCAGGGAGCAGAGGGGCUCUGACGGCGAGUCCGACGGACCCAUCGACUUGGGCAGCGAGGGCCACCUGAGCUGCAUGGGCUAGGCAAGCUGAGUUAGCUCCCUGAGGCUCAGCACCCUCAUCUGUGAGAUGGGACCUUCAUGAGGCUCAAAGGUGUUGAUGAAAAUGAUCCAGCCUCAGAUGCAAAGAAGAUACCCACAUGGGCUGACACCCUCCUAGUGAGCCACAUAUGCCCCUAUUCCACAACGGCCUAGACUAUAGAUUUUAUGGUGUUUGCAACUGUGUUCUUCAGUAUGCCAAAGGCAAGGGCAGCAGGAGGAUGCUCUACCAUGGCUCUGCCAUGCCCCAAGCACUUGCUGAGGCCUGGGAUGACAACAGUGAAUGAAACUGAUGUGGUUCAUGGCCUCAUGGGGCCUAUGGAUUUGUUGGAGAAAUAGACAUUAAUCUAAUAACCAUAUGAGUACAAAAAUAACUAACUGGCAUAAAUGCAGUGAAUGCAGAAGGCUAGGAGUCUUGAGCAGGGGACAUCUAGUAGGAAGGUAGAUGCCAGAAAAGGCUCGCAAAGGAGGGGACAUUUGAGUUGAGAUCUGAGGGGAGAGGGAAACAGUAGCAGUGUGUGGAACUACAGGAAGGAGGUGAUACACUCACAGGUCGGAGCAUGCAGAGCAAGCCAGAUUUGGAUCUGAGAGGUGAUGGGCCAGCUGGUCCACCUGAAGGAUGGUGGCCUGAACACACUGGGAAGCCACUGAGAAGUUUUAAGAGUGACAAGGUCAGGCUUGCAUUUAAAUGACCAUUGCCUGCAGAGGGACCAACAAGAGCCUGUUGCAGUCUUCUAGGUGAGAGAACUGUGGUCCUGAGAGGGGUUAUGGACAUAAAAAGGACAGACAUGAGAAGUAUUUUAGACAUGACUGGGUUUUGAUGUGAGGGUGAGGACAGAGGAAGAAUCAAAGACAGUGCCAGUGUUCUGAAGUGGGGAAUCCAGGGCAUCAGGAAGCCAGUAAGGGGUUAAAGGCAAGGUCAUGAGUUCCUGUUCAGAUGCGUGCCCUUUGGCAUCCAAAAUGGCAGGGGAGGCAUCUCGUCCAAAGCGAUGGAGCUGAGCGAGAAAGGGCUGGGGCCCUGGGGCUAAAUGGGGUUUCCCGGGCUCAAGAAGGAUGCCUUAGUGCUGCCUGGCGAACUUCUCCGUUCUGAGGGAGCCUCUGGAACAAACAUCCCUUGAGAGGUCUAGCAGUCAGGCUGGAGAUUAUUUUGGUCAAAGUCUGGGCAGGAAAGCUUCUUCUCCGUUGCGAGGCUCCUGGGUGGGGGCUAUCAUCCAUCUUGCCGCCAGGGCUGCAGAGGAAGGGCCUCGGUGGGAGGGAGGCCGAGGUUACAGGCCAGGACUUCUGGGAGGCCAGAGCGAGUCCCAGAGCGUGCGAGAGGGGCCGGUGACCCAGAUGCCGCCCCCUCGCCCCCGCCGCACCGCGUGGGAGGAGGCGGCAGCUGCAGGCCGGGCGGAG